This 21-nucleotide non-coding RNA is filed under the name Caenorhabditis elegans. The record is from RNAcentral. Lineage: Eukaryota; Metazoa; Nematoda; Chromadorea; Rhabditida; Rhabditidae.
UCCGAAAACCAAUAGAAUUUA